RNAcentral lists this ribosomal RNA (1412 nucleotides) under Lactiplantibacillus plantarum. RNAcentral describes it as "bacterial SSU rRNA". It matches the Rfam family "Bacterial small subunit ribosomal RNA". The record is from RNAcentral. Lineage: Bacteria; Bacillati; Bacillota; Bacilli; Lactobacillales; Lactobacillaceae.
CAGUCGACGAACUCUGGUAUUGAUUGGUGCUUGCAUCAUGAUUUACAUUUGAGUGAGUGGCGAACUGGUGAGUAACACGUGGGAAACCUGCCCAGAAGCGGGGGAUAACACCUGGAAACAGAUGCUAAUACCGCAUAACAACUUGGACCGCAUGGUCCGAGUUUGAAAGAUGGCUUCGGCUAUCACUUUUGGAUGGUCCCGCGGCGUAUUAGCUAGAUGGUGGGGUAACGGCUCACCAUGGCAAUGAUACGUAGCCGACCUGAGAGGGUAAUCGGCCACAUUGGGACUGAGACACGGCCCAAACUCCUACGGGAGGCAGCAGUAGGGAAUCUUCCACAAUGGACGAAAGUCUGAUGGAGCAACGCCGCGUGAGUGAAGAAGGGUUUCGGCUCGUAAAACUCUGUUGUUAAAGAAGAACAUAUCUGAGAGUAACUGUUCAGGUAUUGACGGUAUUUAACCAGAAAGCCACGGCUAACUACGUGCCAGCAGCCGCGGUAAUACGUAGGUGGCAAGCGUUGUCCGGAUUUAUUGGGCGUAAAGCGAGCGCAGGCGGUUUUUUAAGUCUGAUGUGAAAGCCUUCGGCUCAACCGAAGAAGUGCAUCGGAAACUGGGAAACUUGAGUGCAGAAGAGGACAGUGGAACUCCAUGUGUAGCGGUGAAAUGCGUAGAUAUAUGGAAGAACACCAGUGGCGAAGGCGGCUGUCUGGUCUGUAACUGACGCUGAGGCUCGAAAGUAUGGGUAGCAAACAGGAUUAGAUACCCUGGUAGUCCAUACCGUAAACGAUGAAUGCUAAGUGUUGGAGGGUUUCCGCCCUUCAGUGCUGCAGCUAACGCAUUAAGCAUUCCGCCUGGGGAGUACGGCCGCAAGGCUGAAACUCAAAGGAAUUGACGGGGGCCCGCACAAGCGGUGGAGCAUGUGGUUUAAUUCGAAGCUACGCGAAGAACCUUACCAGGUCUUGACAUACUAUGCAAAUCUAAGAGAUUAGACGUUCCCUUCGGGGACAUGGAUACAGGUGGUGCAUGGUUGUCGUCAGCUCGUGUCGUGAGAUGUUGGGUUAAGUCCCGCAACGAGCGCAACCCUUAUUAUCAGUUGCCAGCAUUAAGUUGGGCACUCUGGUGAGACUGCCGGUGACAAACCGGAGGAAGGUGGGGAUGACGUCAAAUCAUCAUGCCCCUUAUGACCUGGGCUACACACGUGCUACAAUGGAUGGUACAACGAGUUGCGAACUCGCGAGAGUAAGCUAAUCUCUUAAAGCCAUUCUCAGUUCGGAUUGUAGGCUGCAACUCGCCUACAUGAAGUCGGAAUCGCUAGUAAUCGCGGAUCAGCAUGCCGCGGUGAAUACGUUCCCGGGCCUUGUACACACCGCCCGUCACACCAUGAGAGUUUGUAACACCCAAAGUCGGUGGGGUAA